GAACCUUCAAACGCUUAUAUACAGCGGGGUUUUUUGCGGUGACGUCUGCUCGGUUUGCCAUGGUAACGCGGAGGAAAGGGGCGGGGCGUGCAGGGGAAAGAUCAGCGAUCAGCGUUUUAAACAACGAGUGAUCGGAUUAUCCCCAUUAGAUGGAUUAUGGCCAUUAAGAAGAAAUGUGGCACAUGCUCGUGUUGAAUUGACCGAUACUGUUGAAUCUGCGCCUGUAUGGAGACUGCAUCUUCAAAUGUUUGUUCAGAUGGACCUCUUCUCUUCCUCCUACAUUCACACCCACCAUCAGUCAUUAACGCUCCACUUUACGACCGGCGAUGCUCAACGCUUCAGGCCAUUGAUAAUCAUCUGAACGCAUCUGAAAUGUCCUCAACUAUUUGAAAAAUCUGAAAUGCAAAUUGAUAGAUCUUCAUGUGGGUUGAUAAUAAUC
Paramisgurnus dabryanus is the source of this 439-nucleotide long non-coding RNA. RefSeq lists it as uncharacterized. The record is from RefSeq and is a predicted model, not a curated record. Lineage: Eukaryota; Metazoa; Chordata; Actinopteri; Cypriniformes; Cobitidae.